GAAAUGCGAUACUUGGUGUGAAUUGCAGAAUCCCGUGAACCAUCGAGUCUUUGAACGCAAGUUGCGCCCGAAGCCAUUAGGCCGAGGGCACGCCUGCCUGGGUGUCACACAUCGUUUCCCCAACGCAAACAUGUAACAAUGUUGCUGCGCGGGGUGUAUGCUGACCUCCCGCCUUCGCCGUGAUAAAAUGGUGGAUGAGCCACGCUCGAGACCAAUCACGUGCGAGCCGGUCAGUUCUGGACCCAUCGACGACCCUUUGCGUGCACGCACGCUCCCAACGAGACCUCAGGUCAGGCGGGGCUACCCGCUGAGUUUAA
RNAcentral lists this unclassified non-coding RNA (317 nucleotides) under uncultured fungus. RNAcentral's name for it is "sequence contains ITS1". The stretch from base 1 to 107 matches the Rfam family "5.8S ribosomal RNA", at positions 50 to 154 of the family's 154-position model. Lineage: Eukaryota; Fungi. The record is from RNAcentral.